UGCAGUCGAGCGAGAAGUCUCUUCGGAGAUAAGUACAGCGGCGGACGGGUGAGUAACGCGUGAGAAUUUUCCCUUUAGUGAAGAAUACCCUUGAGAAAUCAGGGUUAAUACUGCAUACGUCCCUCCGGGGAGAAAGGUGGCCUCUUUGCUGCCGCUAAAGGAUAAGCUUGCGUACUAUUAGCUAGUUGGUGAGGUAAAGACUCACCAAGGCGAUGAUGGUUAGCCGGCCUGAGAGGGUGUACGGCCACACUGGAACUUAGACACGGUCCAGACUCCUACGGGAGGCAGCAGUGAGGAAUAUUGCGCAAUGGGCGAAAGCCUGACGCAGCGACGCCGCGUGGAGGAUGAAGGUCUUCGGAUUGUAAACUCCUGUUAAGUGGGAAGAAAGACCUAUUUCUAAUACAGAUAGGGGAUGACGGUACCAUUAGAGAAAGCACCGGCUAACUUCGUGCCAGCAGCCGCGGUAAUACGAGGGGUGCAAGCGUUAUUCGGAAUCAUUGGGCGUAAAGGGUGCGUAGACGGCUUAUUAAGUCAACUGUUAAAUUCUCCGGCCUAACUGGAGGUCAGCGGUAGAAACUAAUAGGCUUGAGAUUGGAAGAGAGAAGUGGAAUUCUCGGAGUAGCGGUAAAAUGCGUAGAUCUCGAGAGGAACACCGAUG
This 658-nucleotide ribosomal RNA is filed under the name uncultured bacterium. RNAcentral's name for it is "bacterial SSU rRNA". It matches the Rfam family "Bacterial small subunit ribosomal RNA", at positions 56 to 714 of the family's 1533-position model. The record is from RNAcentral.